Long non-coding RNA from Anas platyrhynchos (mallard), 2038 nucleotides. RefSeq lists it as uncharacterized. The record is from RefSeq and is a predicted model, not a curated record. NCBI's taxonomy places the organism in Eukaryota, Metazoa, Chordata, Aves, Anseriformes, Anatidae.
GGCAUGUUGUUAGUAGCGGCAGUAAUGGAGCUGCUGCUAGCUGCUCUCACUGAUAAAUACCACUGCUGCCAAAGCACCUGUGCUGCCAGCCAUCAGCUUGAGGAGGGAAGUGGAGGAAGGGGAAUACAAACACUGGUGGAGUGUGACUCCCCUGCUCCCAGGGGUGCUCUGGUUUGGAUUGGGCUCCUGUGCAGCGACAUUUCCUUGUGGAGGCUGUGCAUGCUUCAGCAGCCAUUUGUGGGAAUGCUGCUUUCCAAAUUGUCAGCAGCGAGAAGCAAAGGAAUCACUUUUCUACCUCUGAUCUCCCAACUAUUCUUAAUGGGCAUGUAUCCAGACAUUUUCAUUAAUGAAUAUUCAGUGUUUGACCAGAAGAGUAGAUCUACUCAGAAUAUAACUUUUUCCCAGUGAGGCAACGUUAAAGACACAAUAUGAGAACAGCCUUCUUUGUGUGAUGUUCAAAAGGCUUGAAUCUUUUUAAAUAUGAACUGGACUACAAAGAGGAAGACAUGAGAGAUAGACUAUAUAGUCCACACACACUGCUUACAGUUUUUUUACAGGAAAUGGGCCACUGCUGGUUUUUUUGCAAGUCAGGACAGGGAGAGACUGAAUUGGGUCUCUUGUAAAUUACUCACCUGUUAUACAAGUAUAAAAGGAAAAGUGCAAUCUGUCUUGGCUGUGCAGUAUGGACAAGGAUGCUGAUUUGAGGCCUGUGGAGGAAGUAUAUUUUUGUGGUAUCAUGAUUAGACUCGUAGGACAGAGGAACAAGACAGCUUGGUGCUCUCAAGACUUCGGUAUUUCUGCACAUAUCCAGUCUGAACAAUAUAGACAUUUAGAAAUCUGGGCUGAGAAAUGUAAGAUCUUAAGAUAUGUAGGCUCCAGUCAUCAAAUACAUCUAAUAAGUCCAGAAAAUUCAUCCAAAAAAAAAAAAAAAUCCCAUUUGGCAGCUUUGUAGUGGUUGUUGUUUUAAUAUAUAUACAAAGACUUAUUAUCAUAAAAUAUUGCAAAAGAAUCUGGAAGGUCCACUGAUCUAAUAAGCAGUCAGUCAGUGCAGUGGCAGAAAGCAAGUCGGGAUACAUGCAUGCAUAUAUAUGUGUCUGUUGAUAACACAGAAUGUGCUUUAUGUGUUGACAUAUAUACUGUGGACGGUAGCAGAGCAGACUGGUGGAAUCCAGGGCUGUUCCCUGUCCUUAGUAGUAAGUGUGCAUGUUUGGUAGCCUAAGACAGACAGAACGAUGUUGUUAUGGUUCUGCUGCUGCUAACACUGCUUUUUCUAGCAAAUAAAUAUAUUAUCUAUUGAUUUUUGUAUUGCUGAUUCUGGAAACUGAGCCAAGGUGGCAAAAGAUGGAAGAAAAGGAAAAUAUUUGUUCAUGAUAAAUCUGAAAGUAUGUUUAAUAAUCAACACUUUAUGAGUGUGAACUUAAUAUGAAGAAGAGAAGAUUGAGACUAAGAGAUUUGCAACUCUCAGACGAGUGGUAUCGUUCUGAUGUAUUAUUUACAGAGUGACUCUGAGCAAUUUUAUUCUUUCUUAUCUCUUAUGCAAGCAAGUAUAGCUAAAGUAGCCAUGAGCUGGUAAACAGUUAAACAUAUUCCUUAUUGAAAACAAAUGCUAUAGUUUGUGGCUUUUUGGAUACUUUAAAAACAGCAAAUGAGAAAUGAAGUAAAAUAAAAUAACAACAAAAACUUUUGUACUAACACCUGACAGGUCUUGGUACUGGUUAACUAAUGCAGAUUUUAUAUUGGAUUCUCCAGUGAAUUCAGAAGAAUGAAUUAAUUUGAGAUGGCAUUAUGUAACUUUAGAAAUUAUUAGGACAUUCUUAGGAAAGUUAGAAAUUUAGAAAUUCUUAGGACGUUUAUCUUUUUGAUAUACUCUUCUAGUGAAGUAGUCCAGGAAUUUUUGGCACUCAAAUAAAAGGUUCACCAGAGAAAAGGCCUUAAAUUGUAGCAUAGCAUGAAGUAGUGUGUUCUCUUGGUACUAAAUGAUCCUGUAUUCCCUAUCACUGGAGGAAAUAUCUAAUAAAUGACUAUGUGAAAAGGAAAA